RNAcentral lists this transfer RNA (84 nucleotides) under Caulerpa cupressoides. RNAcentral describes it as "tRNA-Lys". The record is from RNAcentral. Lineage: Eukaryota; Viridiplantae; Chlorophyta; Ulvophyceae; Bryopsidales; Caulerpaceae.
AGGAUGUGAUAGUGGAAGGUGGUCGCCCCAGGCGUUCUUGCUGUCUUUGGGUACCCUCAAGGGUACUCCGUCCUUCACUUCCUG